AACAAGCGAUUGCCAAACUAUCUUUGGCUGCCGGGUUUCUUCGAGUACCACUUAUGAUUGCGAUCGGCAAAAUUGACGAAUUGGUUUCCCAGGCAUUGGAUCUAUUUCGAAAUGAUGUUGCACUGGUGCUCUUGUGGAUUGCAGUCGAAACAUGUCUACCAGAGUUACUAAGAUACUAGGGUACCUAUUUCUGUUGAUUUGAAUGACUAAGGGAGCUUCUUCUGUUCGUUCCAGUCAUCCAAGAGCACAUUGCGGUUGGCACGUUUGCUCACUUCGAUGAUUAUGUCGAAUGACCACUGCCACUUCGUGUUGCUUGCGUAGACCUUGAAGAAGAAACCCGCCACCUUUGUUGAAUUCACGUGGAACUGGACUCUCUCUCUCUCCAUGGCGUAACGUCCUCAUUGGGACAAAGCCUGCUUCUCAGCUUAGUGUUCUAUGAGCACUUCCACAGUUAUUAACUGAGAGCUUCCUCUGCCAAUGACCAUUUUUGCAUGCGUAUAUCGUGUGGCAGGCACGAAGAUACUCUAUGCCCAAGGAAGUCAAGGAAAUUUCCUUUACGAAAAGAUCCUGGACCGACCGGGAAUCGAACCCGUCACCCUCAGCAUGGUCAUGCUGAAUACCCGUGCGUUUACCGCCUCGGCUAUACUGCCGUUCUACGCCCGAUUGUCCCAUGUUAUAUGGGAAUCCCAUAUAACAUGGGACAAUUAUGCGUAUAACGGCAGUAUAUGGGCCCUCACUGGACUAUGCUUGCGAUUGAAGAGCUCCUCCUGGCGAUGAUUGCGAAUCACAGGCUUUGGUUGGUCGUUGUGUAGGAGAAAUCGAGAACGGUCUCCAUGUUCGAACCAAGUUGCGUAAGCGUCCUGCAAUUCAGAACACAACUAGUGGUUGUCCUGUACAUCUGGAGAAUAGUCUGUAGUGUUUCGGAGAUGUGCUUCCUCUCGUUGAUUUUGCUCAACGACCUCUUCAAUGUGUUCACAAACCAUUCCGCCUGACCACAAAGUCGCAAAUUGUUCCGACGAUUACGUUCGGAGUAUCGAAUUGUUGGCAAAAUUGGCUUCUAUAGCACCUGCAUCGCCAAACUGGGCCGAAAUCCAAAUUUUCAUGAAUUUUAGUGCCCGGGAAAUUGAAGUUUGUUUGUAUGAAUCACCCCUCGUCAUUUUGUACGGGUCCUCAUCCAAAGUUGGCCAAAAGCCAUAGCUACGCUGGCAAUCCGCUGCUUUCCUAGAUGACCGCGGUGGAGAUGAUGGCGACAGUGUUCCCAGAAACCCGAUUACAGACGUUCAUCGAACAUGACGCCUUGUACUGUUGACAACGAUUCUCGACGAUCAUAGAAAAGCUUUAUUUUUCGGUUUGUGAUGGCUGAUUGUGAUCGUGGCCAAACUUCUUGAACGAAACGGUGGAGUUUUCCGAGAUCUGGAUCGUAGCGUGUUACUUCCUGGAUCAUUUUGAAGUUCAACAGAAGCGCAUCGAUUAAGCUUACAGCGAGGGCCUUGAUGUCCUUCUCCAACACAAUAUUGGCCACAACGAAAUCCUCUUCCGGCUUGACAUGGUACUCACUGCUCAGUCUCAGUCAUCCGAGACAGAACAUCUGCGUUGCCGAACUCAUUCGUACUGGCGUAGACGAUCUUGAAGUCGUACAAUAGCAAUUGUAGCGCCCAGCGUUGUAAUCGACUGGUAGUGUAGACCGCAAUGCCCUUUUUAGGUCCGAAGAGCUGGGGCGUGAUCCGUCUACAACGUGAAUUUCCGGACGAAACCCAUUUUAUGGAAGUUUGUUACAGCGCAUAUCUAGAGAGACCUUCGCGACCUGGCUGGCUAUGUGCUUGCUCAGCUGAAAUCAACGCCGCAAAAUCAAAUCGUGGGAGCCAGUCGGACUACAGGAUUUUCUUGAAGUUCUCGAAUGUGUGCUGACAUUGGGACGUCCAUAUAAACUUUUUCACUUGCAUCGACAUAGUUACCGUAGCGUUGUCAUGCUUGGGAUAAACUACCCAUAAUAGUUGAUCGCCCCUAGGAAGGGACGCAGUCCAGAAAUGUCCAUUGGUGCUGACAUAUUAAUUAUGGAUCGCAUCAAUUUUGGCCGGAUCGGAUCGUAAACCAUGUUCAUUGAUGAAGUGUCCCGAGUAUUUGAUUUGCUGCUGGCCAAACGAGCACUUCUCCGCCUUGAUGAUGAAGCCAUCAACAUGAGUAUGUAUCCGACGAAGGGCAUUUUGAAGAUUUCGUCGAUGUUUCUUCUUCGUCCACUCCCCCAACACAUCGUCGAGGUACCCAACAUGGCGUCUACAAGCUUCUGAAAUGCCCCAAAUGCUGCCUUGACCCUCAGCGGCAGUCGGUCGUAACGAUAGAAUCCCCUAUGCGUGUUGAUCGGGGGAUUCUUCUUGCACUUCCACUUGAAGAAAAGUGUCGGAGAGAUCAAUUUAGAUAAACAUCUUGCAGUUGGCCAAUCACCGUAAAUCUUUACUGCUCCGCUAGCUUUCCUCACAACGAUUGGAGCUGCCCACUCUGGUGUUAUUAAUCCAGCCUUCUUCAAGCGGUCCAACUCCUCGUCGAUGGUCUUAUAUGUACAUUGCGUAUGCCACGGGCCACUUCGGUCGGAAACUGAAUUGGUCGAUUUGAGUUGUUGCUUCACGGUGUAGAAUCGAGCUACUGAUCCAGUCACUCCGUUGAUGGAAAUCUCGUAGGAACACUCAAGCUCCAACUUCAGUGGCUUCCCGGAUGCUGUUGAAGCUUCGAUGGUCAAUGGGCCUGAAAUGAGUCGACCGAUCCGACGCCAUGUCUUUUCGGAGAUUAUGCUGAUUUUUCCAAGGGUUUCUUCCAGGAAUUUCUUCCGAAAUAUCUCACGGAAUGCCUCCCAAGUUUUGCUACAUGAUUCCUUUUGUAAUUUUUCACGAUAUUUGUCUUGAUUUUUUUUAAUACCUCCUGGAGAUUAUUCCAGAUACCUGCCAGCAUUAUCCCAAGAUUCACACUUUUGUUUCCGGGAUUCUUAGAGAUAGAAUUUUUCUAUAGAUUCUUCUUGAAGCAGCGAUUCCUUUCAAGUGUUUCUCUUGGGACUUCUCCAUGAGAUCUCCCUGGAAUUUCUCCCAGCGUUGCUGCAGGAGUUAUUCUUGGGAUUUCUUUUUGAACUCCUCAAAGAAUUUUAAUAAAUGUUUCACCAAUUUUCAGCAGGAAUUCCUUACGGGGCAUCUUGCAAAGUUUCUCCUGUAAAUUCUUCACGAGUUUUUCCUUGGAUUUCUUCAGAAAUUUGAUAUAAAGGCUCUCGUGGCAUUUCUUAUGAAGUUUCUCCCGAAAUUUUUCUUGGAAUUUCUCCCAGGACUUCUCUCAGAAAAUUCCUUCCGGUGUUGGUCCUGGGAUGCCUCUCAUAGUUUUUCUGAAUUUACCCUGGACUUUCUCCUAAGAUUUUUUUAGACUGUCUUCUGGGAUCUCUGCAGAAGCUACUGCUGGUAUUUCUCAUGAAGCUCCUCCCGUAAUUUCAAAGCUUUUCCCAAGCUUUUUUCGUAGUUGUUUACCGGAUUUCUUGCAGUAAUCCACCUGUCAUUUUUUUUAUUGAUUUUCUCCCAUCCCGGAAUCCCUACCAGAAAUUGUCCCGAGAUUAUGGAUGCUCCGUUUGGGUUUUAUUCAGUAGUUACAAGCAUAACUUUUCAAUCCGACGUAACUCGAGAAUGUAAACAAAUCCGGGUUUACUGCUGCAUGCAUGAUUCAUAAAGCAAAUUGAAGAAUCCACAUCACUGUUUGAUGAUUUAUUGCUUAAUUUGUUUAACUAAGCAUAUUUUUCGAAACUACGUAUCUAACUAUUUUGAUGUUUACAACUUUACUGAUAGAUACACCGUUUUGAUAUAUGAGAAAACCAAACGACGUAUCUAGUCAAAAUCAAAAGUAACAGAUACACCAAACUGACACCAUACAAAAGCGACGUAUCUGGCAUGACGUAUCUCUAACCAACCCGGUGUAUGUGUAUUUUUGUCAAAAUUCAUUGUGAAAAUGAUAUGGAAUGAGUAGGUUUUGUUUCUUACCUAGUGCGUGCUAUAUCCCUGGUGAUGUUAAGCACGAAAAAACUUAUGAAAAGUCUUUUUAUAAAAAACUAUUUUAGUGAAAUGGUCGUCAACAUUGACCAUGAAUUUACUCAGAUCAGUGAAAAAGUUAGAUACGUCGGUUUGAAAAAUUAUGCUUGAGUUGCUUCCGGAGCUCUUGCAGGAUUUUUCCAACAAAGUUUUCUUGGAAUGUCUCCGAAGAUAACUUACGAGAUUUCCCGUAAAAAAAUAUCGAGAAAUAUCUGAGGAAGUUCCGUUGAAAUGUUGUGAAAAAAACUUAUUGGAGAAAUCUCGGGAUGAACUUCGAAAGAAAUUCUGAGAGAAACUGGGACAUCUUGGAAAAAAAAGUUCUAGGAGUAAUCCCAGGAGAAAAUAUUAGGGAAAUUUAAGGAGGAACUUUGAAAACCUCUAAGAGAAAUCCCCGAAGGAACUAGGGUGAAAUCCAAGAGAAAUAUCGGAGAACUCUCUGGAAGAAAUCCCACGUAAAACUUCUGCAAAAAUCCCGAGAGAAAUCACUAGACAAACUCCUGGAAGAAGCUUGAGAAAAGGUUUGCAGAAUCUCUGGAAGGAAUCCAGCGAGGAAUUAUGGGAGAAAUCCCGGAGGGUACAUACUCUUGCAGAGCCCCCGUGAAAAACUCCUGCUGAAAUCCUGGGAGGAACAACUGUGGUAAAAAUCCCAGGAACAUAUAUCAGAAAUCCCGCCAGAACGCCGAAAAAACUAUUUAGAUAUAUAAUAAAAUACGUAAAAACCUCAGAACAGAAUCUACUUAGGAAAAAUCUUACGCCAAUUUUCCUAAAAUGUUAGCUUUAGCUUUGAGGACAUUUCUGUAUAGUUUUUGAGGAGGAUAGGAAAGUUCUAAAAUUGAACUAAUUUUUCAAUUAAAUACAUUUAAAACCCUGGAAAACUCAGGGAAUUUUAUUUUGCCUCAUGGAUAGACAACCUGAAGAAACACAACAAAUAGCGCCUGAACACUUUAUUUAGAGUAGCAUGAAAUUGGGACCACCCUGCUGAACAAAUGCAAAGCCUCCCUAUUGCGUUUUGGUUCAAAUAAUGAUCAACUCACCACAACUCACCCUAGUUUACUCAAUGUAUUUACCCAUAAUGGGUAAAGCAUAAUUUUUCAAAUCGACGUAUCUAACUUUUUCACUGAUCUGAGUAAAUUCAUGGUCAAUGUUGACGACCAUUUCACUAAAAUAGUUUUUUAUAAAAAGACUUUUCAUAAGUUUUUUUGUGCUUAACAUCACCAGGGAUAUAGCACGCACUAGUGAUGUGGAUUCUUCAGUUUGCUUUAUGAAUCAUGCAUGCAGCAGUUGACCCGGAUUUGUUUACAUUCUCGAGUUACGUCGGAUUGAAAAAUUAUGCUUGCAUUGUCGUCUUACCUUUUGUGACGUCGUCAAAUUAAACGGAAGCAACCUUGAGACGCUCAUCUUCGGUCAAAUUGUAGUCUGACCUAUAUUUUCCUCUUAUUUCGCUAGCACCUUGCGCCGACUGCUCAGAAAAUAAACAUAAAACACCAAACACAACCUUAUACGACGUGACCUUCCUCCAGCGAUGAGACGGAAAAAGUCACGAUCCUUCACUCUUACAGAUUCAGGGACAGUCGUUUCAGCUCAACACUUGCCCCACUCGCUCCGGUGGGCCAUACCUUCUCGGUACUCCAAAAUUCCGUCGACGGAACAGAAAACGCAGCACUUUUCUAGGUUAUACGUCACCAUCCGAGUCAGGCGGCAGGUUUGCAAUCGCGGAAAAAAAUCACCGCUUCCCAGCCGGAAAACCUGACCUUCCGCUAGCGCCACCCGAAGCACUUGGAAAACUUUCACUUUGCGACCGAAGAA
Molecule: long non-coding RNA, 5858 nt
Organism: Aedes albopictus (Asian tiger mosquito)
Lineage: Eukaryota; Metazoa; Arthropoda; Insecta; Diptera; Culicidae
Exons: 2
Source: RefSeq, a predicted model, not a curated record